GCGGAUAACAGUCCGCUGGAAUGUAACCCUAAUCAAAAAGGGUUGAACCAUAAA
This 54-nucleotide non-coding RNA is filed under the name unclassified sequences. RNAcentral's name for it is "eL15-Euryarchaeota ribosomal protein leader". It matches the Rfam family "eL15-Euryarchaeota ribosomal protein leader". The record is from RNAcentral.